GACGAACGCUGGCGGCGCGCCUAACACAUGCCAGUCGAACGGAGUCAAGAGGAGCUUGCUUUUCUUGACUUAGUGGCGAACGGGUGAGUAACGCGUGAGUAACCUGCCCUGGAGUGGGGGACAACAGUUGGAAACGACUGCUAAUACCGCAUAAGCCCACGGAUCUGCAUGGAUCUGCGGGAAAAGGAUUUAUUCGCUCUAGGAUGGACUCGCGUCCAAUUAGCUAGUUGGUGAGGUAACGGCCCACCAAGGCGACGAUUGGUAGCCGGACUGAGAGGUUGAACGGCCACAUUGGGACUGAGACACGGCCCAGACUCCUACGGGAGGCAGCAGUGGGGGAUAUUGCACAAUGGGGGAAACCCUGAUGCAGCGACGCCGCGUGGAGGAAGAAGGUUUUCGGAUUGUAAAAUCCUGUCGUUAGGGACGAUAAUGACGGUACCUAACAAGAAAGCACCAGCUAACUACGUG
This 468-nucleotide ribosomal RNA is filed under the name uncultured bacterium. RNAcentral describes it as "partial 16S ribosomal RNA". It matches the Rfam family "Bacterial small subunit ribosomal RNA", at positions 28 to 507 of the family's 1533-position model. The record is from RNAcentral.